AGUUUUCAGAGAUGAGAAUGUGCCUUCGGGAACCGUGAGACAGGUGCUGCAUGGCUGUCGUCAGCUCGUGUUGUGAAAUGUUGGGUUAAGUCCCGCAACGAGCGCAACCCUUAUCCUUUGUUGCCAGCGGUCCGGCCGGGAACUCAAAGGAGACUGCCAGUGAUAAACUGGAGGAAGGUGGGGAUGACGUCAAGUCAUCAUGGCCCUUACGACCAGGGCUACACACGUGCUACAAUGGCGCAUACAAAGAGAAGCGACCUCGCGAGAGCAAGCGGACCUCAUAAAGUGCGUCGUAGUCCGGAUUGGAGUCUGCAACUCGACUCCAUGAAGUCGGAAUCGCUAGUAAUCGUGGAUCAGAAUGCCACGGUGAAUACGUUCCCGGGCCUUGUACACACCGCCCGUCACACCAUGGGAGUGGGUUGCAAAAGAAGUAGGUAGCUUAACCUUCGGGAGGGCGCUUACCACUUUGUGAUUCAUGACUGGGGUGAAGUCGUAACAAGGUAACCGUAGGGGAACC
RNAcentral lists this ribosomal RNA (517 nucleotides) under uncultured bacterium. Its description in RNAcentral is "bacterial SSU rRNA". It matches the Rfam family "Bacterial small subunit ribosomal RNA", at positions 995 to 1512 of the family's 1533-position model. The record is from RNAcentral.